This is a long non-coding RNA of Ornithorhynchus anatinus (platypus), 712 nucleotides long. RefSeq lists it as uncharacterized. The record is from RefSeq and is a predicted model, not a curated record. NCBI's taxonomy places the organism in Eukaryota, Metazoa, Chordata, Mammalia, Monotremata, Ornithorhynchidae. The transcript is spliced from 2 exons.
AAUGCUAUUUAAAAAAAAAAUACCAUUUUUUUAAAAAACGGGAUGCUGAUGGGAGCAGUGCCCUGCGUUACGUUCUUAGGAAGCACAAAACAAUGCCGCAAGGAAUUUACACGGUAACGGGAGAGGACGGACCACAAAAUAUUUUAAAAAAAAGAGUGUAUGGAACAAAUGAUUGAGGAGCAGCAUGACCAAGUGGGAAGAACCCGGGAUUAAGAGUCAGAAGACCCAGGUCUUAAUCCUGACUCGGCCACUCGCCAGCUGCGUGUGAUUUUGGACCAGUUCCUUAACUUCUCCGUGCCUCGGGUUUCCCGUCCGUACAGUGGGGACGAUAUCUUUCCAUUUAGACCGCCAUGUGGAACGGGAAUUACAACUCACUUGAUUGUACUGUAUUUUUCUCUUGUCCUAUGCCGUUGAGUCAUCUCCGAUCCAUAGCGACGCCACGGACGCAUCUCUCCGAGAACGCCCCACCUCCACCUGCAGUCGUUCCGGUGGCGUAUCCGUAGAAUUUUCUUCUUAAAAAUACGGACGUGGUUUACCGUUGCUUUCUUCCGUGCAGUAAACUUGGGUCUCCAGCCUCGACCCUCCCCUGUGCCCCCGCUGCCCAGCACAGCAAUGAGAAAGGCCCAGGGCAACGGAUUAAUCCAAACGUUGGCAGCGACCAAGAUAAACUGAAGGUUUUUAAGCCCGCAUUGAGAUAAAUUGCGAUCGAAAA